UAGGGAAUCUUCGGCAAUGGACGGAAGUCUGACCGAGCAACGCCGCGUGAGUGAAGAAGGUUUUCGGAUCGUAAAGCUCUGUUGUAAGAGAAGAACGAGUGUGAGAGUGGAAAGUUUACACUGUGACGGUAUCUUACCAGAAAGGGACGGCUAACUACGUGCCAGCAGCCGCGGUAAUACGUAGGUCCCGAGCGUUGUCCGGAUUUAUUGGGCGUAAAGCGAGCGCAGGCGGUUAGAUAAGUCUGAAGUUAAAGGCUGUGGCUUAACCAUAGUACGCUUUGGAAACUGUUUAACUUGAGUGCAAGAGGGGAGAGUGGAAUUCCAUGUGUAGCGGUGAGAUGCGUAGAUAUAUGGAGGAACACCGGUGGCGAAAGCGGCUCUCUGGCUUGUAACUGACGCUGAGGCUCGAAAGCGUGGGGAGCAAACAGGAUUAGAUACCCUGGUAGUCCACGCCGUANCGAUGAGUGCUAGGUGUUAGACCCUUUCCGGGGUUUAGUGCCGCAGCUAACGCAUUAAGCACUCCGCCUGGGGAGUACGACCGCAAGGUUG
Molecule: ribosomal RNA, 549 nt
Filed under: uncultured bacterium
Lineage: Bacteria
Description: bacterial SSU rRNA
Rfam family: Bacterial small subunit ribosomal RNA
Source: RNAcentral